RNAcentral lists this ribosomal RNA (253 nucleotides) under uncultured bacterium. Its description in RNAcentral is "partial 16S ribosomal RNA". It matches the Rfam family "Bacterial small subunit ribosomal RNA", at positions 524 to 776 of the family's 1533-position model. The record is from RNAcentral.
AACGUAGGGGGCGAGCGUUGUCCGGAAUUACUGGGCGUAAAGGGCGCGUAGGCGGUUCCUUAAGUCAGAGGUGAAAACUGUCGGCUCAACCGGCAGCCUGCCUUUGAAACUGGGGGACUUGAGGGCAGGAGAGGGGAGUGGAAUUCCCAGUGUAGCGGUGAAAUGCGUAGAUAUUGGGAGGAACACCAGUGGCGAAGGCGACUCUCUGGCCUGUUACUGACGCUGAGGCGCGAAAGCGUGGGGAUCAAACAGG